Molecule: ribosomal RNA, 468 nt
Filed under: uncultured bacterium
Lineage: Bacteria
Description: partial 16S ribosomal RNA
Rfam family: Bacterial small subunit ribosomal RNA
Source: RNAcentral
GACGAACGCUGGCGGCGUGCUUACCACAUGCAAGUCGAACGGAAAGGCCCUGCUUUUGUGGGGUGCUCGAGUGGCGAACGGGUGAGUACCCCGUGAGUAACCUGCCCUUGACUUUGGGAUAACUUCAGGAAACUGGGGCUAAUACCGGAUAGGAGCUCCUGCUGCAUGGUGGGGGUUGGAAAGUUUCGGCGGUUGGGGAUGGACUCGCGCCUUAUCAGCUUGUUGGUGGGGUAGUGGCUUACCAAGGCUUUGACGGGUAGCCGGCCUGAGAGGGUGACCGGCCACAUUGGGACUGAGAUACGGCCCAGACUCCUACGGGAGGCAGCAGUGGGGAAUAUUGCACAAGGGGCGGAAGCCUGAUGCAGCAACGCCGCGUGCGGGAUGACGGCCUUCGGGUUGUAAACCGCUUUCGCCUGUGACGAAGCGUGAGUGACGGUAAUGGGUAAAGAAGCACCGGCUAACUACGUG